CUUGAUCAAAAUAUGAGAGGUCCAGCCUGCCCAGUGACCUAGUUCAACGGCCACGGUAUCCUGACCGUGCGAAGGUAGCGUAAUCACUUGUUCUUUAAAUGGGGACUAGUAUGAAUGGCAUCACGAGGGUUAAACUGUCUCCUUUUUCUAAUCAGUGAAAUUAAUCUCCCCGUGAAGAAGCGAGGAUAACUUUAUAAGACGAGAAGACCCUAUGGAGCUUAAAACGAAUUUACACCUGCUUUUUAUUUAUUUUACUUCCCGAAUUUACACAAACAUUAUAGCACAAUUGACAUGUAGUUUUCGAUUGGGGUGAUCCUGGGGUAAAAAAUAACCCCCAGGACGACAAAGGGCCACCCUUGAGCCAAAAGCCACAACUUUAAGCACUAAAAAAUUAACGCAACUUGACCCAAUUAUUUGAGCAACGAAC
Molecule: ribosomal RNA, 427 nt
Filed under: Boana dentei group sp. ABGD cluster 31
Lineage: Eukaryota; Metazoa; Chordata; Amphibia; Anura; Hylidae
Also listed under: 1 other name
Description: partial large subunit ribosomal RNA
Rfam family: Bacterial large subunit ribosomal RNA
Source: RNAcentral